GGGGUUUUAGCUCAAUAGGAGAGCGACCGGCAUUUAGCCGGGAGGUUUUGGUGCAACUCCAUUAAACCCCACCA
This 74-nucleotide transfer RNA is filed under the name compost metagenome. RNAcentral describes it as "tRNA-Lys". It matches the Rfam family "tRNA". From Rfam's summary of the family: Transfer RNA (tRNA) molecules are approximately 80 nucleotides in length. Their secondary structure includes four short double-helical elements and three loops (D, anti-codon, and T loops). The record is from RNAcentral.